This is a long non-coding RNA of Dendrobium catenatum, 3261 nucleotides long. RefSeq lists it as uncharacterized. The transcript is spliced from 2 exons. The record is from RefSeq and is a predicted model, not a curated record. NCBI's taxonomy places the organism in Eukaryota, Viridiplantae, Streptophyta, Magnoliopsida, Asparagales, Orchidaceae.
GGUUGGUUGGAUUGUAUCGAUGGGGGUGGCUUAUGCUAAGGCAGGGUUAGUUUGGUUGUUGAACCAAAAUUGUCAUAGAAUUAUACCAGAAUCUUUCCAAUAAGCUUAAUGAUAAAGAGAACUCAGAGACAUAGAUAAUAGUGAGAAGCUAUGAGACUUUACUAAAUGAGUUUAAGUGCAAAGAAUUGUUUGCUAUGAGCUUUACCUCUAACUCCCUCUUUAUAAUUUUGGGUUAAGAACUUAAGAUUUAAGCGCUACAUGAUUAGCUACAAAUAAAGUCACAUGAAUAAGAAAACAAAAAAAAAGGUUAUGUUGAAGACAACUAGUUAUAAAAUACAUAAGUUGUGUAGCCUAAUUGAUGUGAAACAUAAGGUAUUGCAGGAAUUUAAUAAAAAUUUAUUAAAAUUGUUAAUUUUAAAAUUAAUGUUUCACAAGAUUAGAUUGUAGGAUUUCUUAGUUGUAGUUGUGCUUUGGCAUGAGAUUACAAGAAAGAUUAACAGGGCAAUUUAAAAUAACAACAAGAUUAUAGUAAGGCUAGGUGCAUAAGCAAUAGAAAUCCACAUGUUAGCAAAUAGAAAGUUCACCUUGAGUUCCCCCACUCUCACUCUUGAGGAUGUUCUAGCGGAAGAAUAAUUUUAGCAAACCUAAUGAUGCCACUAAAAGACAAAAAAUGCAUGCAGUAUUGCCCCACGAAAAGUUAGUCGGAGGAGGAGUCGGUGGAUGUCCAAUAACUUGUCACUGUUCGGGGGUUUGGUGCUCGUCGAUGGCGGUCGUCAAAGUGAAAAGAAUCCUAUCGACGUAGUCGUCAAUGGUGUGGUCGAUCUUCAAGUUGAGGUCAAAGAAGGGCGACUAUUCGUCCUUGAAGAUCAUCAUACACGAAUCCAUUGUUUCUUUCAGGAUCGGUCAUUCAUGGGGAGAAGGCCGGGUUGUGUAGCUUCUUCCUUGGAGCGUAUGAAAAUAAUGGAGAAGAGAAGAAGUGGAGGGGGAGGUUGGAGAGGUCGGCCAAGUUUGGGGAAGAGGCUUCUUUAAUUUCAGCUUUUGGUUUAUUUGGGUGGAGAGUCAAUAAAUUUAAAUAUGAAUUUUAAUUUUAGAUUUUGAAUGGAAAGGGAGGGAAUAAUUUUGAAAUUCAAAUCACCCUUAAUGGGAAAGUAAGUGGACGGCCAACCUUAAAGAAAGAGUGUUAAUUGAUAGUCUUAAUGGGGAGCAUUAAUUAAAAGAGAGGGAAUAGGGGGGUCGGCCAAAGAAGGGAGAGAAAAGGGUGUGCACAUUCGAUGUAUGUGGAUCCUUGCAUUAAUUAUUGAUUGGAGAAUUAAAUCUGAAUUAAUUUUAGAUUUGUGGUGAUGGGGAAACUUCCUAAAAUAUGAAAUUUUAAUUAAGAAAGAAUUCGAAAUUCAAAUUUCUUUGAAGUCGAAUUAGAAUACUUUCCAAAUCAAUAGGGGGCUACUUUAGGAAGGUAAUGAAUGUAGGGGAGCAAGGGAGGGCCGGCGGCUAGGGCUUGGGAAAGAGGGCUAAGGCCAGCGGCUAGGGGUGGAAAAGGAGGGAAAGUAGGCUUGGUCGGCGGCUUUUUGGUGGGGUUUGGCUGGCAGUAGUGGGGGAUUAGGUCAGCGGGUUUGGUGGAGGAGAAGAGUGGCCGGCGGUGUUGGAGGAGAAGGGGAAGGAGGCUUGGCUGACGGUUUAGGGUAGGUUUGUCAGCGGUAGGUGAGAAGAAAGGGUGGGGAAGGGGAAACCGAGAGCCUGAAUUCUUCCGGUAGCUGUCGGGUAUUGCUUUGACCCUCUCUUAGGAUUCUCUCCUCAAGAGUUCACAAAGAAACAAAGAACACGAGUUGAAAUUUCAUUCAUCAAUCAUUAUUUCAUACAAUAGGGACAACCAUCAUAUAUAGGCCUCAAAUAAAAGAAAAACACAAAGACUCAAAUGCCCUCGGGGCUACAACAUAAAAUAAUCCCUCUUGGGGAUACAGUGGUAAGCAAGAACAUAAAUAAAAAUAAAAUACAUAAAUGCAUCAUAAAUAAAGACUCCGAAUCGUAGCCGUCGAUUUAUGAUUCCUCCGAUGAUAUACAUGCCGAAAUCUUCUGCUGAUGUCCUCAUCACUAAUUACAUAUGAUCAUUUGCUAACUUCAAAUGAGUCUUUUGCUUAGUCUUUAGCUUGAUAAACAAAGACGCUUACUUGUAUGUAGGAAGUAAUACAUUUAUUUGAAGGUAGUCUUUGACUUGUCUGAAGGAAGUUUGCGGAUAACUUCUGGUUGUAAAUGAGUGUCCAAAUAUGACUGUCUGACUUCUCUAUGAGCUGGACAAGCUCUUUACGUGCUUAACGAUUUCACCCAGAAUCAGUGAUUCAAAAGUUAUAAAUAUGGCGAUGAAGCUUAUGUUUAAACGACACUCUCUUACACGAAAUAAGCUAUGAAGUCAGAUGCUUCUUCAGAAGAGAAUAAUAUAUGAAGAGGAUGGCAUUCGAAGAUGUUAAGGCAAAUAAAGUGACAAGAGACCCAAUUGAUUUAGUUAAGGAACUAAAUUUUCCUAGGUUACUUUCCGAACCAAUGGGUGAAUGCUCUUCUUUCCUUAUCAAGGAAUCUUUUCAAGUAAACUUCUAUUACUCCACCUGUAGAGUCAUGAUAAAAAAAUGAUUUUCUUAUUGUUGAAAUAAAAUUUUUAAAUUUAAAUAACUUUCUUGAUAUUAAAGUUUGGUGACUUUUGUGGUUCAUUCUUCUGUGAGUUAACUCAUCGAUAAAAAAGUAGAGGAAUGCCAAAUUGAUAUUGGCGAGGCAGCCAAUGCUGAACCAAGUUUGAUGUUGGUGAAAAGCUAUUAAUAAGUUGAGAACUGAUGUGGACUAAUUAAUUACUGAUGAGCUGAGAAUUGAUGUCGGCCUGAUUGUUGUUGAAGAUCUGAGGAUUGAUGCUAAUUAGUAGAGAUUAUUUUGCGUAGACAUCGGACACAGCUUAUCAUUCGGAGACGAAUCAGGUGCAGCCACAUCAUCCAGUACCGAGCUCGAUACCGAGCAGUACCGAGCCACGGUACCGAGUAGGGGGUGACGUGAUGCAUUUUCAUUGGGCUCUGGACGGCGUUCGGCGUCCAUAUAGAAUAAUUCAUUGUUAAUCAGACGGUUAUUUGUGUAUGAAGAACUUAUGUUGGUCAAUUGAGCACCAAGGAGCCAGAAUUAUUCCUUGUAGUUUUCAAAUGAAAGGUUUGCUUCAGUUGUGGAUUCUAAAGAAAAAUUGGAAGAUUGAUAUUUUGAUUUUUAAUGAAAAAAAUAUUUAUUAGUUUU